AUUAUUUCUUACAGAUAGGUUGAUAAUUGUAGCGCGUAGCAAAAGAAUCAGUUUUUUUAGCUAGUGUAUCAAACCGAUUUUAUUUUUUAAGACGAAUUUGUCUUAACGUAAAUGACCCCGCGCAUGCACAUCAAUGCGAUGGGAUUCUUAGCUCUCCGUGAAAAAGUUCCUAGAGUUUACCAUUGCAACUAAAAUGGAUUCAGAAGAUAUUCAAUAUAUCGAUGAUCUUGUUCAGGAGUAUCUCACGUAUAGAGGCUUUUCUUCUACCAGCGAGGCCUUCGCGAGAGACAAGAAGAAGUUGAAAACUCAUCAAACUAAAAGACUGGUAGCUGAUUUAUUCUUGCUGGUACAUGACGGUCAUAUCGACAAACUCCUAGAGCUUUGGUCACAGCUUGACAAACAUUUUUUUUCGAGAGUAGACGGUAUUUUUUUCAUAGCGCAGGAGUUAUCGCUGUCACUGAAGCGCUAUUACGUAAUUUAUGCCGUUCAAACUGGGCAGGCCGACAGGGUGUUUGAGUUUUUCAAACAGUAUUCGCACGAACUAGCUUCGGAUAAGGAGUGGAGGACAUGGUUUGUUCUGCCUUACCUUAAAAACCCAAAGUCAGAUCAGGCUUUCAGCGCCUUCUUUGAGAAAAGCUGGCUAGAGAAGUUCAAGGUGUCACUUUAUAACUUUCUCAGUAUCGUCUUUCAGUCUCUGCCGGUGCCGAAAAUCCUCAACUUCAAUGUCGAGAGGAAAAUACGACUGGCGCUGCAAAGUACCAACGGAGAAUUGAUAAACCAAAAUGCAGAACUAAAUACAGAAAUAGAAAAAUUGAACCGAGAACUAGAGAGAUUUAAAUCGGCCGAACAUAAUGAUAGUAAAUCACUCGAGCCAGAUCAGCCAUUUUAUCAGCAGCCGUCUGCUCAGCUAAAUCAAAGAUUAGAGCCAAAUUUCCAUCAUUCUGCUGUUGCUUCUGUAACGAAUCCGGUCCUUUCCGCUCCACAGAGCCAAGACCAACUGGCAUUGCCUUCAAAUCCAGAAACCAAGACAAAAACCGACCUCAAGCCGGAUGGCGCGCCUUUAUGUAAAGAUACUAAGAUUUCAGAAACGACCGCAACCACGCUAAUUGAUUCAAAAAUACAACACUUUUCCUCUAAACUGCUUAAGGUAGCGAAAACCACUUCUAUUUUAGUCGGGGCUCCUAUCGUCUGCUGUAAGUACUCCUGCGAUGGCAAUUCCCUCGCCUUCGGCACGCAUACUGGCUUUCUUCAUGUCCGUUCAUCGAAGCAAAAAACUAUCACAUUUAAAAAAACGUUCGAUAUCACAGCUUUGGAAUGGAACAGAUCAGGACAUUUGAUAUUUUCUGGCACAGGGAACGGCAUCAUUAAACUUUGGGAUGUCGAUCACGCCAAGAAUGUCGGCAAAGUCUCUAUAACUCCACAUCAGCGAAUAUCCGAUAUUGUGUGUCCUCUUGCUGGCAAUUUUAUCUCAUGUUCCACCUCUGGGCAUAGCGGUCCCAAAACCUCAGGCACCGUUCAAACAGUUGAUUUAAGGACUCUGCAGCUUUUGGAUCGUAUCGAGCUAGAUGCCGGUGUCAACUCUAUCAUCUACAAUCACAAUGCCAGUAUGGCUCUUCUCGGAAUGUCCGAUGGAUACAUACGCAUAUUCGAUUUGAAUGGCUUAAAGCCUAUAAUGUCUUGGAAAGGACAUAAUGGCUCAAUUUUGAACGCCAAGUAUGCCUACGACGAAACCAAUAUCUAUUCAAUUGACUCCCAGGGGAUGUUGUUAAGGUGGUGUCUUCAAGUUCCAGGAAAAAUUGCCGAACACUAUUCGCACCCUGGCAACUCAAAAUUCGCAAAAAAGGUCGACAUGAGUUUCGAUGAGUCAGGCAAAUAUUUUAUUACAUCUUCUAAAAACAAUUUUGGCUACAUUUACUAUUACGAACUUUCUCAUCCAAUUCUCGGUGUUGGGGACCAUACCUCUCCGAUACUUUGCUCUGACUGGAACCCCGGUCAAAAUCAAGUCGCAACAGGAUGCUUAGGUGGUGUCGUAUGCCUUAGCAUGCUGGACUGGGAUGACCAAUCAUAGUGUCAACCUCUCGAUGAUACUCGUCCGCUCGUGUCGCUUCAGCAUUUAAGCUUCGCUUUUUCGCAUGUAUUUGUAUAUCACACAUUUUAUACAUGCUCCUCGCUAUUAGCUCUAAGAUUAUCAUUAUCAGUAACCACUCGGUCUAAGCUGUCUCGGAGAGCCCAAGUAUUAGUAUUGACAAGGAAGAUGCUACAAUUCUUCCAUUCUAGUUGUUUAUGCGUGUGAAACAUAAUGUUAAAUCCAAUGACCAAGUAUUCUGCUAGCGAAAAAAGAGAAUAAACUGUAUAGAAAGGAACGCGGUUAGUUAGAAUUGAGCCUCGGUGUGACAGAAUUUCGCCAGAUAAAGUCGAUCGACUCUUCUGUCAUUCAUCUCGAGUCAACACGAUAAUUUGAAAAUCUUUGUACUAUUCCGUACUUCCUACUUCGCAAAAACGCAUAUGCCUCCAAUAAAAAUAUAUGCACGCUAGGAAAGAGGCGCAGUGUCCCAUAGCAAUAGCAACCUUAACUUUCAGAUAUCUCUUAUCUUUUUCAGCCAACGGAUAAUGGCUCUUCAGGUAGCAGAUGAUUGAACAGAGGAAGUGAAUGUGUGCCAAUAACAUAAACGAAGAAAAUCCAAACUGGUGAACGAAAAAAUUUUCUUUACUGCCUACAAAUGUCAGCAAAUACAACAUAAAGUCUUCUAGCAGAGCUGUAAUCAGCGACACUAUAUUCCAGAAUUCCAAUCCUCUUUUAAGGCGAAGAAUUUUUGCCUGUCUACAUUCUAAAUAGUUUCUGGUCAACAAAUAAUUGCAGCAGUCUACAAUUAUUUUCAUAGACGAAUAUAGACCUAUUCCUAAACGAAAAAUAUACUGUGCGAAUUCUGUUAAUAUGCUUAAUACGAGUUCUCAGUAAAACCAAAAAUUCAGCUUUUCAUUAUCUGCCUUAUAUUCUCUGACUUACUUUCUCUGGAGGUUCGCCUACUGAAGCCGAUACAGAAGCCAGAAACUGCCAGUUGUUACAAUGAGUAUGUCUAACCUGUUACAUUCAAAAAGUAUAAAUUUGCAAAAUUUAGUAUCGAAUAUGUUGCACCGCUAGAUGUCAUCUAUUUUAAAAUUCAUCUAGCAUACAUUGGAAUGAUACUUGUUGGCAAUAAUUAUGCAAGAAUAGAUAGAUAUCACUGGCAAUAUCCACGUAGUUCUACAAAAAUUAGAAUAACUCAUAGAGUAAACACAGCAGCUGUCCUUAUUUUUCUGUUCAUCGUUCAAGUUAUAAGGCAUUGUUUAAAGGAUAUGCUCUGGCUUUUGAAACAUGUGGAGAAAAGCAUCUCUCUAUUCCAGUUAAAAAAACAAAUGUAGAGUAAUUGAUUAAUAACGGAUUUCUGAUAAAAGUAAUAAAGGAACAAUUAGAUCUCAAUGAAAA
This is a long non-coding RNA of Schistocerca gregaria, 3466 nucleotides long. RefSeq lists it as uncharacterized. NCBI's taxonomy places the organism in Eukaryota, Metazoa, Arthropoda, Insecta, Orthoptera, Acrididae. The transcript has 3 exons. The record is from RefSeq and is a predicted model, not a curated record.